CUUUAAUUUUGUUUGUGGGAACUGAACCAGUCCCAAGCAAAAAGAAGCUCAGUGUCUGGAUUGUGUUCUACACUUGGAGAUCCUGGAUGUCGAAGUCACCAGCAAUCAGAGUUCCAGGAAGACGUCACCUGUUGGAUUGAAGAAAACUCACUCUUCUAUUCCUCUGGAAGCUUCACAGUUGAACAUGAAUCCCACCCCUAUGCCUCAGAGAAUUCUUCAGAACAAUGUGUGCACACAGACCUUGAGCAAACUCUGGAAAUAUAUGCCUUGUUUAGUCACAGCAAUCUCACAAGCCCUGCACAAGAUAUUUUAUGUUUGUGACUGCAUCUUCAGAAAUGGUACACAGAGCUUGGGACCUGCUGCUCUGAGGGAUUCCAGACCAUCAAGGGCUCUUGUGAAUAGCUGACCCAC
Molecule: long non-coding RNA, 411 nt
Filed under: Fukomys damarensis (Damara mole-rat)
Lineage: Eukaryota; Metazoa; Chordata; Mammalia; Rodentia; Bathyergidae
Description: lncRNA (ENSFDAG00000027018.1)
Source: RNAcentral